This 748-nucleotide ribosomal RNA is filed under the name Mortierella indohii. RNAcentral describes it as "eukaryotic LSU rRNA". It matches the Rfam family "Eukaryotic large subunit ribosomal RNA", at positions 66 to 669 of the family's 3401-position model. Lineage: Eukaryota; Fungi; Mortierellomycota; Mortierellomycetes; Mortierellales; Mortierellaceae. The record is from RNAcentral.
UAACAAGGAUUCCCCUAGUAACGGCGAGUGAAGCGGGAUGAGCUCAAAUUUAAAAUCUGGCCGGUUUACUGGUCCGAAUUGUAGUUUAAAGAAGCGUUUUCGGUGGCAGCCUGGGUAUAAAUCCUUUGGAAUAGGGUAUCAUAGAGGGUGAGAAUCCCGUCUUUGACUCAGUGCAUGCUACUAUGUGAUACGUUUUCAAAGAGUCGAGUUGUUUGGGAAUGCAGCUCAAAAUGGGUGGUAAAUCUCAUCUAAGGCUAAAUAUUGGCGAGAGACCGAUAGCGAACAAGUACCGUGAGGGAAAGAUGAAAAGAACUUUGAAAAGAGAGUUAAACAGUGCGUGAAAUUGUUGAAAGGGAAACGUUUGACACCAGUCAUGCGGGCGGAAAAUCAGUCUUUUGUAGUGGGGAAGCGCGUGGGUUCAGACCGCAAGGCUGGCCUAUGUGUUCUCUCUGCUGCGAGUGAUGCACUUUUUCGUCUGCAGGCCAACAUCAGUUUCUUCUGCUGGACAAAACUCUAAGAGAAGGUAGCAGCUUAGGCUGUGUUAUAGCUCUGGAGCGAUACAGUGGAGGAGACUGAGGUUUUCGCAGCGUGUGCUCUCGGGCAAGGCGGAUUGGGUGCUAUGAGAUCGUUCGGCGUACAAUGCAUGCAUUUUGCGCCGUGUCUUUUUCAUACUCGCUCAACUCUGCUCUUCCACGCUUAGGAUGUUGGCAUAAUGGUUUUAACCGACCCGUCUUGAAACACGGACCAA